GGUCGCGGCCAUUCAUUUAGUUUGCCAUUUUGGAACAAGAAAUUGGAAGUUAUAAUGUGGUUAAGUGAGGGCAGCUAUAGAUUAUGAUAAUGGAUUGCUUUAGUGUUUGCUAUAUAUGAGCAUUAUGUUUUGUUAAAUUAAUAAUUAACAUCUGUUUACAGCCAACUAAUAUCGAAAUAAAUUGUUUAAAUGUUCGAACUAUUUGAAUUUGCACGAACAAUACAGACCAAAGUCAUGUGUUCAAAUCACAUCCAUGCUAUCUCGCUCACAAAUCAAGAUGCCUGGAGUGGCAGCCGUCGAUGCAACUUUGGGUUGGCAACGUUAAAAUUUUCACUUUUUUGAUGUAACACUUCAAUCCACUAUACACGGAGAAAGAUAUACUAACUUCGAAACGACAUACCUACAAGUUCGUUCCCGCACAGUUGACCUGCGUAACCGAAGUAUGUUCAAAGCAGGAACAACUAUGAAGUGCUUCAUAGAACCAACGCAUGUGAACCAUGAUGAGUGGAUAUGACGCCACGCUUUACAUGACGUAACUUGGCUGGUUCUAUGAGCAAAUAAUGAUGGAAGAAUAUUACGCGAAACGAAAGAACUGCGCGGAAGGAAUCGACGAAGAAAAUAGACAUGAACGAAAAGCUCAAGAACGAAGAUGGAGCCAUAGCAUGCCAAGACUAAGAUUUAUUCUUAGUCGAUGUAAAUACUAACUUAAGUGAGCUGUAGCAUAAAAAGUCCCUUAUAUUUAUUGAAUGCUUGUUUAAAAUUGAGCGUGCAUGUGGUACACUGUGUGUGGUGGGGGGUGGAGAAGUAUAAGGAGAUCAAAUGAUUAAAGUCCACCUUUGUACACGUUAGUAAUGUAACGUGGUUGGGAAUCUUGGGUUUUAUUUCUUUAUGUGUGUAUGUGUGUGUAAACAACCUGCAUAAGAACGGUGCGCGCAGGUCAGA
Molecule: non-coding RNA, 942 nt
Organism: Ciona intestinalis (vase tunicate)
Lineage: Eukaryota; Metazoa; Chordata; Ascidiacea; Phlebobranchia; Cionidae
Source: RefSeq, a predicted model, not a curated record